AUGAGAAUAUCAGCCCUUGUUUAUUACUAUUUUGUCGAUGGCAAUAAAAUAAAAUAUGGCGGGCGCGGCCAUUAUUAAGGGCUUCUGUUGUAUUAGAGAGAGCACGCUGAAAACUGUUAAGAAGUUAUUUGUUUUGCUAUCAAAUAAUUACUGAAAGGCUAAAAUGCGACGUAAAAGUGAGCGUACCGCAAGCAAAAAAGGGAAGGCUUCACCAGAGAAAAAGGUUGAGAAGGUAAAACGUACUAGAACUAGACGUACUAGAAAGCAGUCAUCAUCUACGGAGAACGAAUCUGCUGAUGAAGGGAGUCCAGUUAGGGAAGUUGAAAGUGCCGGUGAUGCAGAAAAGAAGCCACCAGUAACACCCGCUAAAGAAGACAGCCCUGAAGAAGCCCAGGAUCAAGUGUGGCGUGUUAAAACUACUGAGGCCUCUGGUGAUAUUAAAAAACUGAAAAUAUGUCUGACGCGACCGCCAUCUACGCCAGAAAGAGUCGAUAGAUCUCCACGUAGCAAAAGAAAGCAUUCCCGCGCGACCAGCUCUAGCGAUACUCCAAGUGUAGAGGGUGUGGAUGAUAAAAAGAAGACUAGGCAUCGCUCCAAACGGUUAGCUCGAGACUCUAAAGAGGGUUCUGAAAAGAAUGACAGUCAUGGAGAAGAGGUUGAACAUCAAGAUCAUGAUAAGUCUAGUGACGAAGUUACUCAGAGCGAGACAGUUGAAGAAACCGAGACUCCCAUGUCUACUACUAAUGAAGAAACAAAAGUUACUGAAAAUUUGAUACAAUCCAGUCAAGAAGUACCUGAAAGUAAUGAAACAUCUAAGGUAAUUGAGACCCAGGAUACUGAAAAGGCUUCUGAUGCUGAUACAACUGUUGCUUCACCUAAAGAUGAAACAAGAGUUGCAUCACCACCAGCAGAACCAAUUGUUGAAUCUAACACUGAUAGCCAAGAAGUACAACCAUCUGAUAUAACUGAGACCAAAAGUCCUGAACAUGCUAAUGUCACAGAGAAGGAAAGCCCAAUCCGUCAGAGAGAAGAGUCUGUUGAGAAGUCCGAAGUUCUAGAAUUGCAUGCUGAUGAUAGUAAAUGUGAAUCUUCCGAUAAUGAGGCCAGCCAAUCUAAAGAGGAACCUAAGGAUGAACCAACAGUCACCCAAGAAGAGACCACUGCACCUGAAGAACAAAAGGUAAGUAUAGUAAAUGAAGAAAGUAUCAGUAAGGACACUGAGAAAAUUGAUUCUGAUGGCAAACAAGCUAUUAAUCAACCUGAUGUUGUAGAGAGUUCUGACAAAGUAGCAAAAGAAACAAAUGAACAAGAAAUCACUACCAAAACGGAAGACCAACCGCCUGUGGAAAAACCUAAAGAUGAAACUGAACAAGAACCUAAUAAGACAAAGGAGCCACAAACACCAAUUGAAUCUGUAAAACCUACAAAAGAUGAGCCUAUUGCUAAUGGUCAAACUGCCCCUGUUUCAGUGGGCAGGAAGAGAAGGUGGGGCUCCAGGAGCUCUAAACUUACAACCCAAAAGUCAAUAACAAUAUCUACAGAUGUGUUAAAGGAUAUUAUUCCAGAUGUGAAGCCCGUGGAGUUUGAUGAAGUUAUAGAAGAGAAAAAACACAAAAGAACAGAAAAUCAGGAAAGAAUUGAGAGACCUGUGCUUCCAAAGAUUAUAAUUGAUAAUACAGAAAAUGUGGAAUUGAAAAAGGAAUCUGAGGAAAAGGAAAAAGACCCUCAUACUCCUAAGCCAAGAGAUUUAGCUUCCAAUAGAAAAAUAUCUAUAAUUAAAGAUAAUGAUAGUAUAAUAGCAAGACCUCCAAGUCCGCCUAGAAAUAAACAGUCCUGUAUAUUGUAUAUCACUAAUUUAGUGAGACCAUUCACAUUACCACAACUGAAAAAUCUAUUACAAAGAACUGGAAGGAUUACUGAGAACGGAUUUUGGAUAGAUAGGAUCAAGUCAAAAUGUUUUGUUCAAUAUGAAACUGAAGAUCAAGCAGUAGAGACGAGGCAUGCGUUACAUGGUGUUACAUGGCCUGUCUCAAAUCCCAAGACACUCCAAGUUGACUUUUCAACACAAGAGGCUUUUGAUAAGGCAAAGAUAAAUGAAGAGACAGACACUGCACCAGUUUCAACAAUCCCUGGAACUGUGGAGGACUGGCUUCGGGAGCAAGACAUGAAGAGGGAACGUGGGGACCUGGAAAAGCCAUGGGAGCGGAAGACGGCAACUCGGGAAUGGGAUCUUGGCAAGAAUGAUAAAGAUAAGGACAAGGAUAUUAAGCUAAGGCGUGACGAACGUCCCAUUGAUAAGAGACGGCACAGAUCGCCAGAAAAGAGUCCAGAACCAGCAAGGAAAUUCAAGAAGAAAGAAGAAGAAGCUCCCGCUAAGCUGUUGGAUGACUUAUUUAGAAAGACUAAAACAACUCCAUGCAUAUACUGGCUGCCGCUCUCAGCUGAAACGAUAGCAAUAAAGGAGGAACAGCGGCGCCAGCACAUGGCGGAGCACGAGCGCCGGCUGCAGGAGCUGCGCCGGACGCACCGCCGCCACUAUUGUGUUGGCGAUUACAAGCGCCAACCACUAAAUUUUGGUGUAGGACAGAAAUCCAGCAUGGCGCGGGCUUCAUGGUGGUGCUUGCUGGCCGCGCUGGUGGCGACCGCCACUGCCCAGCAGAACUUCACCAUUGGCGACUUCCUGUCUGGACAGUUUACCCAAAGGGGAUUUACCGGUAGAUGGAUUUCGGACUAUGAGUUCACAUAUACCGUCGCCGGAGAACCCGGUAUCUACGUGUUCAAUGUCAAUACUCUGACCGGCAGCGUCCUGGUACCUGGGGAGCUGAUGGAAUUCCUGAACACCAACAACCCAAUCUUGUCGGCAGACAGGCAGUACAUUCUGGCUUCAAGCGAAGUCGAGUCGGUUUACAGAUACUCGACAACAGCCAAGUACUCCCGCUACGAAAUCGCCACGAACACUGUCACUCAGAUCGCGAACCACCAGCGCCUGCAGCUGUGCAUUUUCGGCGGCGGUCACUCCCUCGCCUAUGUCCUGGACAACAACGUGUACUAUCUCCCUGAGAACAGGCAGGAGGCUAUUCAGAUCACAACUGAUGGCAUUCCUGGGGUCUAUUAUAAUGGACACGCUGAUUGGGUGUAUGAAGAGGAUGUGAUGUACACCGGCCAAGCCACAUGGUUCUCCACUGAAGGUUCGUACCUGGCCUUCGCGACUUAUGACGACACCGAGGUGGAGAGCUACUCCUACUACUACUUCCUGGACAACAAUGAUGAAGGACGUCUGUACCCUGAGCUUGUGGACCUCAAGUAUCCUAAGGUCGGCCGCAAGAACCCAACAGCAAUUCUUCGCGUGGUGAACCUAGCUAACUUGGUAGCGACGAACACUCCGACCUUCAUAACCCUGCAGCCGCCAGAGGCUGUUACAAAAGACCAUAUCCUCGGCGGAGUGACCUGGAUCACUGAUACGGAGAUCGCCACACACUGGCUGAACAGGCGACAGAAUUACACCGUGUUGAGGAUUUGCAAUAUUGUUACUUUGGAUUGUGAGGAAGAGCAUCGCCAACAGCCCAAUGGCUGGGUUCCCAUCGCGUUACCCCGCUUCAGCAGUAAAGGUGACUUCUUCGUGUCCACCCGCUGGUCCCUACCCCAGGCCGAUGGUAACAUCUGGCAGCAACUGUACGUGAGCAUCCGCGUCAAUGGAGAGAUCAUCUCGAGCUCCGUCACUCCUGGCGCCUUUACCGUCAAUAAUUACAUCGGCAUGGAUGAAACUACGCUGUCUUACUACUACACACGCACAGUGACAGGCGAGCCCUGGGAGACGCAAGUCCACGUGACCGGCGCGGGCACGGGCUGCCUCAGCUGUGACCUGGAGAUGCCUGACGGAGGCCGCUGCACCUGGGCCACCGCCACGCUCAGCCACGGCGGCUCUUACAUGACCAUCACCUGUUCCUCGAAUGAAGAACCUUCGGCUACUUUCAUUUAUAAUCCUAGGACAAGACAAGUCCUAUACACCUGGGAAGACAACGCCAUCGUUCGCCAACGCCUCGUAGGCAGAGCACGAUGGCAGAGCAUCAUCACCACCGUGCCCCUGCAGAACGGCUUCCCCGCUCCCGUGAGGCUGCUACUGCCCCCAGGCUUGGACGUCAAUGACACACUCACUAAAUAUCCUAUGAUAUUCUACGUGUACUCCGGCCCUAAUACUAAUACUGUGUUCAAUACUUUUACUGUUGGUUACCACUCAUACCUGACGACGAGCCGCAACAUCAUCUACAUGUUGGCCGACGGGCGCGGCUCCGGCCUCAAGGGACAAGACAUCUUGUACUCGCUCAACAACGCGCUCGGAACUGUCGAGAUUGAGGACCACUUCGUUAUUCUCAGACAAGUCCUAGACCGCUACCAGUUCAUAGACCGCUCGAGGGUCGGUAUCUGGGGCCACAGUUACGGCGGGUACGCCACGCUGCUGACUCUACUCCAUGAUGACGAGCAUCUGUUCCAGUGUGGAGUCUCCGGAGCUCCUGUGACCUCAUGGAUUUAUUAUAACACGAUGUACACAGAGCGGUACAUGGGUCUACCCACCGAAGAAGACAACCUCAAAGGUUACCAAGACGGUGACGUGAACCUCCUUGCUGAGAAACUCCGCGGGCACGACUUCUAUCUCAUGCAUGGCAACGCUGACGAUAAUGUGCAUUAUCAGAACGCGGCCAAGCUGAUGCGAGCUCUGCAAGAGUUGGACAUUCCUUUGAACAGAUGGUGAGAUUUUUUAAUUUGGAAGUUGUCAUACCCUGAUGAAGCUCACAGUUUGGCUGGAGUGAACCCUCACAGGUAUAGUGCGAUGGAUCGCUACUGGACCCGUUGUCUAAGGCUAGAGGAUUGGUACUAAACUUAACUCAAUUAAUAAAUUUAAAUAUUCCAACAGUUCGUAAAGUAUCAAGAAUUUUAAUAAUACAUGGUAUUUUGUACACUGUUGACCGUAUCACUUUCCAAUUCAACAUGGAUGAAAAUUGUACAUAAUAUACAAAUAUUAUAUAUUUAUUUUGUUCAAAUAAUAGAUAAGUUUAAUUUUAUUAUAACAUUUUUCAAUAAAAUAUUUUGUAGA
Molecule: RNA transcript, 5092 nt
Organism: Helicoverpa armigera (cotton bollworm)
Lineage: Eukaryota; Metazoa; Arthropoda; Insecta; Lepidoptera; Noctuidae
Exons: 21
Source: RefSeq, a predicted model, not a curated record